AUCUACAGCCAUUCCACCCUGAACGUGCCCUAUGUCUUCUGAUCUUGGAAGCUAAGCAGGGUCGGGCCUGGUUAGUACUCGGAAGGGAGGAAGAGAAAAAUCAGUAUAGAACAUA
Molecule: ribosomal RNA, 115 nt
Organism: Cavia aperea (Brazilian guinea pig)
Lineage: Eukaryota; Metazoa; Chordata; Mammalia; Rodentia; Caviidae
Source: Ensembl